GAUCGGCUAUACUUUCAUAUAUCUAUCCUCUCCUCAUAACUGGUCGCGGCUG
The submitters of this non-coding RNA (52 nucleotides) gave its source as unclassified sequences. The record is from Rfam.